Molecule: long non-coding RNA, 294 nt
Organism: Poecilia latipinna (sailfin molly)
Lineage: Eukaryota; Metazoa; Chordata; Actinopteri; Cyprinodontiformes; Poeciliidae
Exons: 2
Source: RefSeq, a predicted model, not a curated record
CCAUCUCCACCAGUGAGAGGCAGCAGUGCACGAACAGGCAGUGUGUUGGUGAAGAAGAAAUCUUCCAUAUUGUGGGGCCAACCUAACACAAGUUAUAACGGCCAGACCUCCUGUUUAAAAAGAAGCCAAAGUUUGACACCUAAUACAUAUGAGCCACAUGAAGACCCAUGUUAGCCUAGGACACAUGGUGGGGGACAAAGUUGGCUAAUGAAGACAUGCUACGAGUGUGGAGGAUGAUAAUGAGGACCAGCCACCAGAGAAAGAAGUUCCUGUUUGACCAAAGAGAAAGAAGCA